Molecule: long non-coding RNA, 1452 nt
Organism: Syzygium oleosum
Lineage: Eukaryota; Viridiplantae; Streptophyta; Magnoliopsida; Myrtales; Myrtaceae
Exons: 2
Source: RefSeq, a predicted model, not a curated record
CCCACAUUCAGGAAAAGUGGGCUACUUAUGCUUUCGAAUGUUCCCGAUUGCAUGUGAGACAGCAUAUUAUAUUCAAAGUAUUGCCCACAGUACAGAAAGAACAUUAAAAGAGACUGUAUCCAUCAUUAAAGUGUAAACAAGAAGAGAACCAGGGGAAACAGGGUUGGAAUUUUGGCCUGCUAUAUAUCCAAGCAGUCCAGAAACGAAAGCAUAAAGAAUUUUUUGCUUCUUUUCACUGCUGUUCAGUCUCCCUACACCAUCUCAUUUGAUUCUCAAUAAUGUGUCUUACUUGACACUGUAGCACGACCCCACUUCAUCAAAGGUAAACAUAACACACUACCCUUCCUUGAUAAUAAGAUAUUUCAAUCACCAGAAUACAUUCACAGUAACCUAUGAAAACUGAUCCAAGGUAUGACUCUAUGUCGGCUAAUAUCAACCUCAGUGUUAACAACACACAUGCUCUUGAUCCUAAGAAAAACAUCCAAGAUGUAAGUCUGUCAGCAAAUAUCAACCCGAGUGUUCGUUAAGACAUCCUUUUUUUAAAAGGGAAAAGGAACCUUUAGAUACAGAUUUUAAGCAGAUUUGAGUUCCCUCUUUAUAAAAAUCCCCUGCGCACCUACCUAUGUGGCAAGGUGAGUGUUGUCCAAGAGGCAUUUGGCCCCUGCCAAAAGAUCAAAUCAGAAAAAUGACAGAUAGAUUAGGAUAUAUUGAAGAAAGAUGCUUGGCUUCUCAACGGUAAUGUUCCAAGAACUUUAUUCAUACUUACCGGAUUCCCCAUAUAGCACCGUUAAUAUGCUUAUUUGCUUCGAUUGCAGGCAGGCUAAAGAUUUUUAAGUGAUCUGAAUUCCCUCUAGCUGUUAGGGGCCCCUCCGUACUUUAUGCUAUUAAGUGCAAUAACAAAUCCACUACUGAUAGAUCAAAGGCUUAUAUUUGCGGGAGUUGGAACAGAAAGAAGAGGACGAAGGUCUCCAAAUCACCUACACUCCUGAUAUUACAGUAAACAGAGGGAGUUUUCGAGGGAGCAAGAAGAUCAGGGAAAAGCACCCCAGAGUCGACGCAGUUUGAAGACUAUUGGCACAGUGGGCAUGAACACAAAGAUGUCUUCAAGUGUGACAAAGACAUUCGAUCCUAACACAUCGAGCAAAAGACAAGUCCAAAGAGGAGCGGAUCCCAUCCACAACAGGUCCUAAAUCUAUUCAAGUGUGGUUCCUUCGACUAAAAGAAAAGGUCGAGCAAGCUAAUUAGACAGACUGGAAGGAGGAGUUUCCUCGGAGAUGUGAAGGCUAGCAUUUAAAGUUAUCCCGCCUUCAACGGGAGGCUGUGUGAAGGUUGAUUUGUUUCUCUGAGUAUUGUGUUUUGUCAGCUAUUGUCAUAAAGCAACUUGUACAGGCAAAGCUAAGCUAUUGUAGGAUUUGUAUUGAGAGUAAGACCAUCACAUCUCAGUUCUUGCAA